Molecule: ribosomal RNA, 888 nt
Filed under: Dugesia ryukyuensis
Lineage: Eukaryota; Metazoa; Platyhelminthes; Tricladida; Dugesiidae
Description: partial 16S ribosomal RNA
Rfam family: Archaeal large subunit ribosomal RNA (bases 569-849)
Source: RNAcentral
UUAGAUUAAUUAAUUUGUUUUUUCCUUUUUGUAUUACGGUUGUUAGAUUAAAUUAAUAUUAUUUUCUCGAUUAUUAUAGAUCUAUGCUUUAGUUGUUAGAUGCCUUUUUUGUGUUAAUAAAUAGUUGCUUAAUAUUUUAGUUUAGUGGUGAUAUGUUUUCGAUUUAGUAAAUCUAGUUAAUUAUAUACUAGUAUUAGCUUGUAUAUAUGUUAGGUUUUAAUAUUGUUUAUUUUAUAAAAAUUUUUGAUAUUAAUAAGUUAUUUGUUAUAAGAGUAUUAUAUUAUAUUUUUCGAUGGUUUUUUUUUGUUUCUAUUAUUAGCGGAUUACUAUAAAAUACACUUUUUAUCACUCUGAGGUUUUGCAACUGUUUAUUAAAAACAUUUCUUAUUUAAUAAUAAGUUUGCUCUGCUCAAUGAUUAAUUAAAUAGCUGCAGUAUUUUAACUGUACGAAGGUAGCAUAAUUACUUGUCUAAUCAUUUUAGAAUUGUUUGAAUGAGUUAAUGAUGAAAUUCUAGUAUUAUAAUGUGUUUAAUUAAUUUAAAUUUUCUGUAAAGAUGCAGUUUAAAUAUUAAAGACUAAAAGACCCUAUAGAGCUUUAGAUGAUUUUUUUAUUUCUUUUAGAUGGGGUAUCUGUUUUUAUGUUUAAAGCUAGUUUGUUAUUAAGCUUCCUUAGGGAUAACAGGGAAAUAUUUUUUAGGAGUCCUUAUUAAAAAAUUUGUUUUCUACCUCGAUGUUGAAUUAUAGUUUAACUUAGGAGCAGAAGCUUAGUUUGUUUUAGUCUGUUCGACUUUUAAUACUAUUCGUGAUUUGAGUUUAGACCGAUGUGAAUCAGGUUGGUUUUUAUCUUAAAUCUCAAGCAUUGGUACGAAAGGAUUAUGUUUGAAUUUA